Molecule: long non-coding RNA, 812 nt
Filed under: Aotus nancymaae (Ma's night monkey)
Lineage: Eukaryota; Metazoa; Chordata; Mammalia; Primates; Aotidae
Description: lncRNA (ENSANAG00000039111.1)
Source: RNAcentral
GAUGUGGCGCGGGUCGGUGGACCCCAGAAACAUGGGCCUGAGACCCUCGAGGAGGGGGGUCAGCAGAACAGUCCCCUGCUCCGUGAGCUCACCGCCCCCCUUGGACAUGGGCCACCCACCAAGGGGCCCUGCCUUGGUCUCCAACUCCAGGAUCCCCUGUUUCUCAGCGCUGCUGAUGUAGAAGGCACUACCGCUGAGGGCCCCUGCUUUGCCAAGCCGCUGAGACGGUACCGCAGGCCAUGGUGGCAGUCACUGUCACGCGAGCCUCGGCCACAUGCAGCGCAAACACAAGCACACACACGUGAACACACACGGAGACAUGCAAACAGACACACGCACAUGCACACACAGACACACACACGGAGACUAAGCCACGCGGAGAAAUCCAACAGUCGCGGGCAGCUCCUGAGGCUGUGCGGUUCUGCUCUCUUCCGGGAAGCCCCUCGGGGUUAGAGCAGCCCCGCAGCACACAGGCUGACCUUACCUUUAAUUCCCAGCGGGGACAGCCUUCAAGGAGACGCACCCCAAGAUCGUCUGGGCAGGCCUGAAUCAUCUAGGGGGUCCUUGGGGAUCCCUCGCCCUGGGCAUCCGUAAAGGUCCGCUGGACCUUUCCUCAGCCCGGUUCCGCCAAGCCGGAAUCCGGAAAUCGCGGGACCGCUGCGACGAUCUCCGUGAAGCGGGGUCCGUCGCCCAACGUCCAGGAACUGCCGCAGCGGGCCCCUGCCUUUCCAAGACGCUGAGACGGUUCCCCCGGACACGGCGGCCGUCACUGUGAGGCGAGUCCCUGCUCAGCGCUCCGCUUCUGAUGCCCC